This 253-nucleotide ribosomal RNA is filed under the name uncultured prokaryote. RNAcentral describes it as "partial 16S ribosomal RNA". It matches the Rfam family "Bacterial small subunit ribosomal RNA", at positions 525 to 777 of the family's 1533-position model. The record is from RNAcentral.
ACGUAGGAGGCGAGCGUUGUCCGGAUUUACUGGGCGUAAAGGGCGCGCAGGCGGCAGCUUAAGUACGGUGUGAAAUCUCCCUGCUCAACGGGGAGGGUGCAUUGUAAACUGGGCAGCUAGAGGACGGUAGAGGGGGGUAGAAUUGCUGGUGUAGCGGUGAAAUGCGUAGAUAUUGCUCGGAAGGCCGGAGCCGAAGGGGCCCUACUGGUGCGCAACUGACGCUGAUGCACGAAAGCGUGGGGAGCAAACAGGA